AGUCGGCACAGCGACUAUAAAAAGGGCUUUAGGCUGUGAGCGUUACGCCCUGAGUGAUCAGGGCAUAGGUAGCC
This 74-nucleotide ribozyme is filed under the name unclassified sequences. RNAcentral's name for it is "pistol ribozyme". It matches the Rfam family "Pistol ribozyme". The record is from RNAcentral.